UCAAGGCCUUGGCAGGGCACCCCCAUCCCAUGCGAUCGCACGGACAUGCUGCUUUUCUCAGCUUGCACGGAGAUUUCGUUCGGGAAUGGGCAAUGGGCAAGUUUCUGGAAUGAUCGAUGGCUGUUGGGAAUGGCUCCUGUGGAUGUGGCCCCCGGUUUGUUCGGUUUGGCACGGCGGAAAAGGCUCUCUGUGAAGGAAGCUCUUGCUGGUAAUCGCUGGAUGAAGGGCCUGGAAAGAAUUGCUUCCGAGGAGCUGCUGGAUCAACUUGUCAAGUUAUGGGAGCUGCUGCAACCCAUUGUCCUUUCUGAUGUUCCUGAUACCAUCCGGUGGAAGUUCACUAAUGAUGGAGGCUACUCCGCUGCGUCUGCUUACAAUGCUCAGUUUAUUGGUCGCAUCGCUGAGCCACAGUUGCAUGCUUCAUUGAGGAUCAAGGCCGAGCCGAAGGUAAAGUUCCAUCUGUGGCUCCUGAUUCAGAAUAGGAACUGGGCAGCUGAUCGGCUUGCGACAAGGGGAUGGCCACACAAUGACAAAUGCAUGUUCUGUGAUCAAGUUCUGGAAACAGCUGCCCAUCUGACGCUCACUUGUCCAUUUGCCCGGGAGGUCUGGUUUUCCUUCCAGCAAAGUGAUCCAGAGGCUGCACUUGUUGGUUCAACAGCAAUGACAAUCAAGGGAUGGUGGAGACGGAUCUGGAAUCUGCACAACAACCCAACUUCUUGCACGCAGAUCACAUCGGCUGCUUACGUUGCUUGGAAUCUUUGGAAAGAGAGGAAUAGGCGGACGUUUGAAGGAAAGAGAUGCUCUCCCGAAACAGUUGCUGCUAUGGCCAGAGACGACAUUGUACUGUUCAAGGAAGCUACUGCGUAG
RNAcentral lists this ribosomal RNA (864 nucleotides) under Triticum aestivum (bread wheat). RNAcentral's name for it is "partial small subunit ribosomal RNA". The record is from RNAcentral. Lineage: Eukaryota; Viridiplantae; Streptophyta; Magnoliopsida; Poales; Poaceae.